AAGCUUAGGGCUCCUCAGCUGUGACACAGAGCCGCAGUGUGAACAUAGAGCAUCCACCUGGGCAAGCUCCACACCACUCCCAUGAGGCUGGUGACUCUACUCACUACGGCAAGAUGAUUUGGAAGCACAAUGAGGAGAAAAGAGAACUAAGGAGGACAUCUUUAUAGGAGAUCAUUUUCCUGUAAAACAGGAACCUGAGUUGUACAAGAGCAAUGAGUUUUAGAAGAAUGUCCCUUUGAAAACCAUCCUUUAGAUAAAACUUAGAACCAUGACCAGAGGAAGAAGAGCCUUCUGGAAUACAAAACAGCAGACUCUAGAUGGAGACUGGAAGACUGGAGGAGGGGAAAAGACCCAGACGCCUUCUUGGUUCCUGCUGUUCCCAUCUGUACCGGCCCAGCAAUGCUUCUCACCCUAGCAGUAGUUGGUCCCCAAAGCAGCAAUUAGUUCUACUGUCUGUUUUUUUUUCCUCCACUCCUAAAACCACCCACUUACCAAUAUCAGAACCAUACAGGUGGCCUUCCCUCCUCUAUGGCCUGAGUCCUGUUUUCAGGGCACCAGCUGACAGUUUCCUCCUCUGAAGUCUGGAAGGGCCCCUCCUUCAAGCUUCUAAGCUCUAAAAUCCCAGCCACUUCCUUUUGUUCCCCAGCCCAAGGGCCUGUAGCUGCUUCCUGCAGCUUUGGGUUUCUUCACUAUUCCUUUUACUCUUUUCCAUCUUUCCAUAUAUUUAACAGCUUCCAUAAAGUAAUUUGUCUCGUCAGAAUAACUUGCCGGGGGCUUCCCUGGUGGCGCAGUGGUUGAGAGUCCACCUGCCGAUGCAGGGGACAUGGGUUCGUGCCCCGGUCCGGGAA
Molecule: non-coding RNA, 848 nt
Organism: Delphinapterus leucas (beluga whale)
Lineage: Eukaryota; Metazoa; Chordata; Mammalia; Artiodactyla; Monodontidae
Source: RefSeq, a predicted model, not a curated record